Molecule: small RNA, 115 nt
Filed under: Marmota monax (woodchuck)
Lineage: Eukaryota; Metazoa; Chordata; Mammalia; Rodentia; Sciuridae
Source: RNAcentral
GCUGGGUGCGGUGGUGCAUGCCUGUAAUCCCAGCAGCUUGGGAGGCUGAGACAGGAGGAUGGUGAGUUCAAAGCCAGACUGAGUCACUGAGCAACUCAGUGAGACCCUGUCUCUA